RNAcentral lists this ribosomal RNA (420 nucleotides) under uncultured Eubacteriales bacterium. Its description in RNAcentral is "bacterial SSU rRNA". It matches the Rfam family "Bacterial small subunit ribosomal RNA", at positions 356 to 774 of the family's 1533-position model. Lineage: Bacteria; Bacillati; Bacillota; Clostridia; Eubacteriales. The record is from RNAcentral.
GGGGAAUAUUGGACAUUGGACGAAAGUCUGAUCCAGCGACGCCGCGUGGAGGAAGAAGUCCUUCGGGAUGUAAACUCAUGAAGCUAACGAAUAAGACGGAAGGGGAACCUUCCGGGAGAAGGUAAUUAGUGAAAAGCCCCGGCUAACGACGUGCCAGCAGCCGCGGUAAUACGUAGGGGGCAAGCGUUAUCCGGAUUUACUGGGUGUAAAGGGAGCGUAGGUGGUUCGGCAAGUCAGAUGUGAAAGCCCGGGGCUCAACCCCGGGACUGCAUUUGAAACUGUCGGGCUAGAGUGCAGGAGAGGUAAGUGGAAUUCCUAGUGUAGCGGUGAAAUGCGUAGAUAUUAGGAGGAACACCAGUGGCGAAGGCGGCUUACUGGACUGUAACUGACACUGAGGCUCGAAAGCGUGGGGAGCAAACA